This is a long non-coding RNA of Chinchilla lanigera (long-tailed chinchilla), 5091 nucleotides long. RefSeq lists it as uncharacterized. The record is from RefSeq and is a predicted model, not a curated record. The transcript is spliced from 6 exons. NCBI's taxonomy places the organism in Eukaryota, Metazoa, Chordata, Mammalia, Rodentia, Chinchillidae.
CCCGCCCGCGGGCCCUGGCUCCUUCCUCUGCUGCUCUUUCUUCACGUUGUCUUAGAAAUGCCCCGACUCUGCGGGCAAGAUGGAGAAAGUUGCCGAGACUUGAGCGCAGCGCGCGCGAGUCGGAGGCAAAGUCCAAAGCAGAGAUAAGACCCCUGCGGGGGAGCCUUGUCACCCGGCAGAGUGAGACCUGCCCCCGGUCAGCUAAGGGCCCCUGCUCCGGGCGGGAGGGUUUCCCCCCAACAUGCAGGGAGCAAUGAAUUUGCAGAUUUCGGGGGUGCAGGACGUGCCGGCGACCUGGAGUGACCUUCCUCUGUCCUCGGGGUGCGGGGCGAGCUCCGCAGGCGCGCAGGAAGAAGAGAGGGGCCGGGUGGUCCUCCCCCUUUCCCCUCCCACACCCCUUUGCCGCAGUCCAGGCCCAUUGGGUGUUGGGGACCGGCUCGGUGCGUCUCGCUCACGAGUUCCUAGAGGAGGGCCCUGCCCCGCGGAUUUUACUGCAGUCACCGACGGAAGCGCUUUAACGUAACUGCCCGGUGGCAGAUAGAAGCAGCUGGGGAGGAAGCGCCACUUCUCCUAAACCGCUCGAGUAGCUCUCAUUAACCGCAGAGGCGGCGCAGCGCCCCGUGAAACGGGUGUCCCUGACCGCUUGGGUACAAUGCACCAGGCUGGGCUACUUUAAGACAAACUAAUGGAAGGCAGGCGGGGGCGAGGCGGAGAUGGAGACCCGGAACGCGUGGUGAGGGGGGAGCAGCACGUGGACACCGCCCCAGGGGACAGGGCUGGGACUGUUUCCACCAGCUGUCCGCAGCCACAUUCUUGAGGUCUGAAUUUAGACUGUCGUCCAAUGAGCAAAGACCGCGGCCGCUUCGGAGCCCUGCAGCCUGCAGCGUGGUGACUGUCACUUUUCUAAAGCUCUGCAGCAGCGAGAGAGGGCAAAGUAGCUGAUGAAGCACUUCUACAGGUAGAAGCAGCCUCCCGCUGCGGGCUGCUCUCUUCCACUGCAGCUGGGCCAGUCCACGUGUCACCUGCACCCCCAAUUUCAGCCGCUAGCUGCGUUGCCUGGCCGGUGGUCCUCCCUCUCUCCCCUGACAGCAUCGCCUUUCCCCAGCACUCACCCCGCUCUGGGACUGACACCCUUAGCUCCCUUCACAGGCCUGCCCUGACCUGGAGUCCCUACGGGAAGGUAUUGGUGCUCACCAGCUGGAAUAAGCCUGCGGCCUUGCUUUCUAGAGGUGUGUGGUGUAGCUGACUGAAUAACAGCUGCCCCAGAAGAGAAUAAAAGAAAAGGUGUGCACAAAACAGGUAGUACAGCACACGCCCUCCGUUAGAUUCUUCUCUACAGAGUUCUUCCCCAGUGAUCGCCCCCUUGGCCUUUUGACUAAGAUCAAGUAUCCUUCCCCUAUGAAUUUCUGCGUGUAUCCAUUCAGCAAUUCUACUACUGAUUCAAUUCCCAGAACUCUAUUCUGCUGUCUCUUCUCAAAAUGUGUUUCCUCGGUUUUCUAUCAUGUUUUUCAUCUGUCUUUUCUGCUGUCAAUUCAGUACUUAGACCUAGAUGGGAUGAAAUCACAAGUGAAGAGGGGUAUGAUAAGGAAUGAACACCCAACCAGGAGUCCACCUCCCGAGCAUGUCGUCCAGCCCCCAGCCUACCCGCUGCAUGGCCGCAGGCCCCAGUGGGGGUCUACUCCCCAGCUAAAAUUGGUCUAGUGCGUGUAUAAAGUGACCUGUAAGCUAUAAAAUCCUCCAUAAAUUUAAGGUGGCCACUUGAGAAAAGAAAGCUCUUUCACCUCCCCUGCUUUGUUCAUAACUUGUGUCCCCUUUAAUUUCCCUGGACACCUCCCGCAAUGCACAUCAGCAGAGAAUCCUUUCACUCCCUUCCCAUAAGUGUAACCCCCUCUACAGCCCCGCAGCCCGCUCGUGGACUUCUGCUUAGGAAGAGUGAGCGGAUGGAACGGACAAUGGGCGGCUUGGGAAGAUUGAAGCCUAUUCCCAGUCUGACUCUGUGGGCGCGGUUGAGCUUGGUAACAGGGUAGCAGCAUUGCAGCCAGCAUUUACUGACUUCUUCCUGUGUUUCGGACUCUAGAGGUACUUUUGUGCUUUGUGAGAUUUCUGUUUGAAAGGCGUGGAAAGACAGUACCCGACGCAGGGGUCUUACCAGCGGCUGCAGAAAUUACAGCUCACUUCCCCACCACCCCUGUCGGAGGAUGCAUCCCUGUAAACGUGAAAGUCGUCAGCCUUGGGAGGCCUGGCAAGAGGCAGCGGCUUCCCGUCCCUUCCUCUGUCAGCCUUGUUUUCCUUAGUCAGGUCCAGCGCAGGACUCUCCCAAGUUACCACACACUGCGGGUCCAGAACGUCCCGUCGCGCACCCUCGGUUGACCAUCUUCACCGCCGGGAAAGCUGCCAGGCUUCCUUCCUGGUGUGACCUCCACGGCUUUAUUUGCCUCUUUAUUUCCACUUCUCGCCAUCCUUCUUUUGGUCGCUCCAGCAUGACCCAUUUUAACUUCCAGCUCCCUGCCAAGGACCUUGGUGCCAUGGAGCUGACAUUCCAUGGAGAGAAACAGACAACAAGCAAGCAACCACAGGUCUUGAUCGCGGCAGCAAGGGCUGCAGGAAAACCAAAACGGAGUUCUGUGUACAGGAGGGAAGCUGCUUUCUAGGGCUUUCUAAGAGGAUGGCACUCACUGAGACUCCGAGGAAGACAGACUGAGCCGGCUACCAGCUGAGGAAAGGCCCUCGGGGGAGCCCGCAAGCACCAAGGCGGGAACGCGCUUGAUCCACUGAAGAAGAGGCAGGAAGCCGUGGCAGCGGAAGGCAGCCGAAUUUCUGGUCAUUCUCCCUGAAUUAUCGGCCUGCAGUUUCUGCAUUCAUCUCCAACUCCCCUUUUUAUUAUCGGUAAUGAGGAUGCUGGUUUAAUGAAGCGGCUGUCCUCUUCAUUUCUUCUGGUCCUGUGAUUUUUACUGACUCCGUGGAUACUUAAAUGACCUUGCGCUUACCAGGCAGUGUUUAAACUCGGUAUACAAUUUCUUGUUGCCAGUUGUCCUCAUCCACUUUGUCAGGCUCUAACAGAGUGCCACAGACUGGGGACAUUAGUGAACAAGAGAAACGUCCUGGUUCUGAACCGAGAAGUCUGAGGAACAGCUCCGGCGCUUGGAUUGUUUGUGAUCAUCUCCCCAGAGCAACAGCUUAUAGAGAUCUCAUCUGAAGAGGAGGAGGAGAAAAAGGUGGAGGAAUCCCGCAUUUCAAAUGAGAUUAGAGAGAUGUGGGAAAUGCGGGAAACACUGCAAAAUUUUGUAGAAGUGCACCACCCAAAUAAGGCUGUAGCAGUGUAAGCCAUAAAUCUGUUUAGUGACUGCAAUGUCACAUUUCCACAAAAUCCUCAAAAGAAGACGAAAGCAAGCAUCAUUGGACAGGUUCCUCAUUAAGGUUGCGCGAAAAGAAAAAGAUUCCACUGAGCUGAUAGAUAGCAGUGAUUCCAUUUGUGAUAGGGAAAGUCAUCUUAGACAAUAAUCCACCUCUCUCUUGUCUCCCUCAUACAACGUUGUUUUAAGUUGUUUAUUUUUCUUUAUAUUUUAUAUUUUCUUUAUCAUUUCUUUAUUAAUAUUAUAGUAUUAUAAAAUCAUUUUCAAUAUGGAUAUUUUGGGGUUGUAGAACAAGUCAUUUGAGUUUCCAUUAUUUCUUAUGGGGAAAUUCACUUUUAUAUAUGAGUGUUUUUGGAUUAUGAGAAUAUUUGUAGAAUGAAUUAUACUCACAAACCAAGCUUUUACUCUACUUAGCUUUUUAAUGUUAAUCUUUUCAGCAACCAGGUUCUCUCCUCCAUCUUUUCAGGCUGCAAUUUUACAGGAGCUUCCUUUCUGGCCAAACUCAAAACUUUUUAAUCAUUCUGCUGGGCCAUUUGCUCUUGAUUCUCAAGGUACAGCUGACUAAAAACCAUCUCUCAACAAAAAUCUCCCAUCAAGGUCAGUUUACAGCAUUCUACAGCUGCCUUUCCAACAGGCAACUCCAAUGGGAUCUUUCCAAACUCUUCCCACAAGCCAGUUCCAAAGGCUCCUGAACCACAUGGCCAGGUAGUGUCACAGCAACAGUCCCUCUUCUCUGGUACCAAAAGCUCCCUUAGUCAGGUCUCACUAGAGAAACAGAUUUACUAUAAGAUACAUAAAUAUAGAGAGGAGUUAUGAGGUUGGCUUACAAUGGCUGCCUGCAGAGUCAGCUAUGGAAGAGUGCCAAAGGACUGUCUGUGUGAUGAGGACACAAAGGAUCCAGUCAAAGGUCAAAGGCCUGGAGCUCACUGUAGAGUCCCAUGCAAGUCUGUCUUAAGAGGCUAAAUGGUCUGCACUGCAAGGCUGAAGGGACUGCACUGGAAGCCAGGAGACAGACACCCCAGGAGAAGGCAAAGACGGGAGCUCCUCCCACAAAACAGAAGCGAGCCUUCCUUCGGCUUUCCCUUUUUAUUCCACCCAGGCUGCAAGCCUAUUGGUUGGUGCCACCCACACUCAGGUGGGUCUUCCCGCUUCGUUAAAUCCAUCAUCCACUAGAACUAUUCUAAACCAAUCAGUGAACUAAUCCAGUAUCACACACCCCCCACCCAGCAUCACAUACCCAUCAUCCAGGCAAAGCCCCACCUAUGAAGGCAUGAAGCUUUGAGGGGGACACAAAGUCCCAGUUCAUCCCAGCAGUCCCACGUUGGUUAAAGCUUUGCUGUUAUCAUUGUCCCUCUGCAUCCAAGAUCGAUAAGUGAGUGCCCCUGGAGCCAGAACAAAGCUGUCAGUCAUCACUUUCCUGUGAAAGAGGUUUUUCCUUUCUCUAACUUCAGGCAUCUAGGACUCAUUUCUUCCAUAAUUCUCUGAUGUCUUUAAAAAUAUAAUUUUUGUAGUUACUCCAGUUGUUCCUAACUGCUGCAGUGGGUCUACUGGUCUACCUCAACCAGCUACAGUCUGUUCAAGUGUAUGAACUGCAUAUCUUACAUCUGAAAAUAAGAAAAGUAUUCUGUAAAGAGUUCUUCCUAAUAUUUCAUAGCAUUUUACUUAAAUUCAUUUUAACUUAUAUAAAGACAUAAAAUUAUGUAUAGAGAAAGUCCCCUCAAAAUAUAUACAUACUUCA